This is a long non-coding RNA of Bubalus bubalis (water buffalo), 222 nucleotides long. RefSeq lists it as uncharacterized. The record is from RefSeq and is a predicted model, not a curated record. Lineage: Eukaryota; Metazoa; Chordata; Mammalia; Artiodactyla; Bovidae. The transcript has 2 exons.
UUUUUAGUUCUAUUCUUUCUGUUUGGAUUAACAAGUCUGGCACAUAUUAACAUGGAGAUGAAUGACAUCACAGACUGUGUUUCAUGUUUUUGAUUUAAGAAGAUUGCAAUGAAAUACAACUGCAAGGUUCCACGACCAACCAUACUGCUAUUACUAAGCCUCCAUACGAAAUCCUCUUAAGGCUCCAGUUUUUGACAUUUCAGAAAUAAAAUCAAUAUGAAC